UACUCUGCCCAAUGGGGAAGGAUGAGAAGCUUCGACUAAGGUUCGACUCGAGCGUCAGCGAGAGAACGUUGCCGCAGGCAACGGCCCGAAGGGCGAGGCGCUUUAGCGCCGAGUAAUCCUUCCCCCACCACCA
This 133-nucleotide small RNA is filed under the name Klebsiella aerogenes. Its description in RNAcentral is "RtT sRNA". It matches the Rfam family "RtT RNA". From Rfam's summary of the family: This family represents a bacterial cis-regulatory element known as RtT RNA. The record is from RNAcentral. Lineage: Bacteria; Pseudomonadati; Pseudomonadota; Gammaproteobacteria; Enterobacterales; Enterobacteriaceae.